RNAcentral lists this long non-coding RNA (1499 nucleotides) under Gossypium barbadense (sea-island cotton). Its description in RNAcentral is "long non-coding RNA (GBAR_LNC012736)". Lineage: Eukaryota; Viridiplantae; Streptophyta; Magnoliopsida; Malvales; Malvaceae. The record is from RNAcentral.
UGAGUUGAGCCUUUUAAUUUCUGUUUUUCAAAAAGUCAACUCAUAUUGCGAGAGGUGAGUUGAGCCUUUUAAUUUUUGUUUUUCAAAAAGUCAACACAUAUUGCAAGAGGUGAGUUGAGCCUUUUAAUUUUUGUUUUUCAAAAAGUCAACACAUAUUGCAAGAGGUGAGUUAAGCCUUUUAAUUUCUGUUUUUCAAAAAGUCAACUCAUAUUGCGAGAGGUGAGUUGAGCCUUUUAAUAUCUAUUUUUAAAGAGUCAAUUCAUAUUGCGAGAAAUGAGUUGAGCUCAAGAUCACAUGCCGAGCAAGAAUAAAGAUUGAAGCUGAUGAAAGACACCAUUUGGCCUCCUUGAAGUUGCAGUAAAGUAGGUCAAAGUUACAAGUCUCGUCCCCCUGAAGUUGCAGUAGAGCUGAUCGAAGAUAUCAAAGCUUGCCUUUUUAGAGUUACAGAAGAGAAGAUCACAAACCCUAUCUCACUGAAGCGAUAGAAGAGCAGAUUGAAGCUGUAGACCUCAUCUUUCUGAAGCUGCAUGGAAGCAGAUCAAAGCUACAAAUCUCAUAUCUUUGAAGUUACAUUGAAGUAGAUUGAAGCUACAAAGCAUAUAUCAGAAGAUGCAAUGGACCAAAGCUACAAGAUACGAUGGACUGGAAGAAGACUAUUUGAACAAGAAGAACACCAAUGAAGUCAAGACUCAGCAAGACUAGGCAAAAUUGACCUUUCAUUAUGUCUUUGCUCCAUUCCCGUUGCACGACAAUGAGCAAAGAGGGGCAGCUGUACAGGCCAAUUUUGGACCCAAUACAACAAAACAUUAACCCAACCUCAACUCAUUUACAUCAGACCCAAUAACCCCCAAACCUUAACCCAAAUCAAACCCAUUCCCAAUACAUUACCCAAAUCAUUAAGCCCAUUAUCCAAACCCUACCCAAUCAGCUACCCGGAGCCCAAUGUUACCCACAAGCCCGUUUGCAAUAUUCAGCCCCAACCCACCUAAACCCAAAUCUACCUAUAACCUAAACACUCAACCCCAAGCCCAGAAGCCCAAUUUUAGACAUUAAGGUUUCAGUUUCUGAAACCCUAAACCUGCCUAGCGCCGCACCACCCCCACCAACCCUCUGACGGCCCCAUGCCCUCUGACGUUGCCUCAACAACCGCUCCACCGUCCUCCAUAUUGCACCAUCCCCUGCAAGCAUUAAAAGAGAAUAGACAGCAAGCAAGAAGAGAGCAGUAUAUAAUCAAAACAUACAAUGUAAAAAGGGGGUUCCUUUUUUCGUCAGUUUUGAAAACAAAAAGAAAUAAGAACAAACCAUUUUAAAUAUUAAGCAACAAUAGCAUUUCCCUCAGUACUUAGACACAAAAAAAUAGCAACCAAGCAAAAAGAACAUCUCAGAUCAAAGAAACAGAAACUAAAACCGAAAGGUGAUUAUUUUUUUCCUAUUUCUAUUUCAUUUUUUUAACCUGUUUUAAUCUACCAUACAUAUUAAAAUAUAAUAAGAUAAUAAAA